GAUGAACGCUAGCGGCAGGCCUAACACAUGCAAGUCGAGGGGUAGAAGGAGCUUGCUCCUUUGAGACCGGCGCACGGGUGCGUAACGCGUAUGCAAUCUACCUUGUACAGGGGAAUAGCCCAGAGAAAUUUGGAUUAAUGCCCCAUAGUAUAUAACCUUCGCAUGUUGGUUAUAUUAAAGUUCCAACGGUACAAGAUGAGCAUGCGUCCCAUUAGUUAGUUGGUAAGGUAACGGCUUACCAAGACGAUGAUGGGUAGGGGUCCUGAGAGGGAGAUCCCCCACACUGGUACUGAGACACGGACCAGACUCCUACGGGAGGCAGCAGUGAGGAAUAUUGGUCAAUGGUCGCAAGACUGAACCAGCCAUGCCGCGUGCAGGAAGACGGUCCUAUGGAUUGUAAACUGCUUUUAUACAGGAAGAAACCCUCCCACGUGUGGGAGCUUGACGGUACUGUAGGAAUAAGGAUCGGCUAACUCCGUG
This 480-nucleotide ribosomal RNA is filed under the name uncultured bacterium. RNAcentral's name for it is "bacterial SSU rRNA". It matches the Rfam family "Bacterial small subunit ribosomal RNA", at positions 28 to 507 of the family's 1533-position model. The record is from RNAcentral.